Molecule: long non-coding RNA, 573 nt
Organism: Cololabis saira (Pacific saury)
Lineage: Eukaryota; Metazoa; Chordata; Actinopteri; Beloniformes; Belonidae
Exons: 4
Source: RefSeq, a predicted model, not a curated record
AGCUACGCCGUAGGCUGCGUCUAUUUAAAGCUCGCCGACCGAGGAAAACAUGCUUUGCAGACUCGUCUCGAUUUUGAGCAAGCAAGCAUUUUUUCAUUUUUUUUGAGUCAAAUGGCGAACCGCAAAGAGCAGGAGGAUAUUGAACCCACAAAUGGACUCCGGAUCAGGUCCGACACCUAAUAAGCUUUAGGACUACCAACGAGGAGAAUUUUACAAAGAAGAAAUAUGCUGCUAAACCACUGUGGGAGAAACUCAUCAAAGAGCUGGAACUGGAGGGGAAGGUGACCACAGCACAAAUUGGCAAAAAAUGGGAAAAUCUUAAAAAAAAAUAUAAGAACACUUUGGAAGACGCCAGCACAUCGGCCUCAAGCUCUGCCUCACCAGCUGGAAGAGGAAGCUGGAAGCUUCAGGCAUCAGGUCCACUUUCCCCCCGAUCCCCCCAAAAAAAGAAACUCUCUAUGCGGGACUUCCUUCAAGCUGAGGCCGCCAAAGAAGACAGAAAAUGUCAAAAAAAUGAAGAACACAUGGACAGGUUCCUGAACCUUUUAGAGAAAAUGGUGGACCAGACACCUC